AGUUUAUUUCGACAUCUUUGACCUUUUUCUUAACAUUUUAUUCCUCAGUGUAUUCCUUGGACUUGGUACCUGUCUAUGGACUUCCAGUGCCACCACUCCUCUGUUGGUCUAUUUUUACAGACAAAACAGAGGUGAGCUGAAACAGCUGUUUCUGGAGGCCUUCUGCUGAUGACCACCGUGACCAGUGCUAUUGUAGCUACACUUCUACAGCUGCCAGUCGUUCUGCCGUCUCAACUGUUUUAUCCAGACCCUCGUUCCAACAUUAGUUUUUCCUGCUAUCUGUCACAUCCUGUCUUCAUUAUCCUGUACACUGGCGUGCAACAGACCCCAACUCAGGCAUCAACUUCUUGACAGAGAGUUGAUAUGGAUUACAUCUUGCAGGUGACACAAAAAGUGUAAUUUCAAGUUGGAAAUUAUUAAAAGAGGACUAAUACAGCGAAA
Molecule: long non-coding RNA, 441 nt
Organism: Micropterus salmoides (largemouth bass)
Lineage: Eukaryota; Metazoa; Chordata; Actinopteri; Centrarchiformes; Centrarchidae
Exons: 5
Source: RefSeq, a predicted model, not a curated record